RNAcentral lists this transfer RNA (73 nucleotides) under Providencia stuartii ATCC 25827. Its description in RNAcentral is "tRNA-Val". It matches the Rfam family "tRNA". Rfam says of the family: Transfer RNA (tRNA) molecules are approximately 80 nucleotides in length. Their secondary structure includes four short double-helical elements and three loops (D, anti-codon, and T loops). The record is from RNAcentral. Lineage: Bacteria; Pseudomonadati; Pseudomonadota; Gammaproteobacteria; Enterobacterales; Morganellaceae.
GGGCGAUUAGCUCAGUUGGUAGAGCAUCUCCCUUACAAGGAGGAGGUCACUGGUUCGAGCCCGGUAUCGCCCA